GACGAACGCUGGCGGCGUGCUUAACACAUGCAAGUCGAACGGAAAGGCCCUUCGGGGUACUCGAGUGGCGAACGGGUGAGUAACACGUGGGUGAUCUGCCCUGCACUUUGGGAUAAGCCUGGGAAACUGGGUCUAAUACCGAAUAGGACCACGCGCUUCAUGGUGUGUGGUGGAAAGCUUUUGCGGUGUGGGAUGGGCCCGCGGCCUAUCAGCUUGUUGGUGGGGUAAUGGCCUACCAAGGCGACGACGGGUAGCCGGCCUGAGAGGGUGACCGGCCACACUGGGACUGAGAUACGGCCCAGACUCCUACGGGAGGCAGCAGUGGGGAAUAUUGCACAAUGGGCGCAAGCCUGAUGCAGCGACGCCGCGUGAGGGUUGACGGCCUUCGGGUUGUAAACCUCUUUCAAUAGGGACGAAGCGCAAGUGACGGUACCUAUAGAAGAAGCACCGGCCAACUACGUG
RNAcentral lists this ribosomal RNA (462 nucleotides) under uncultured bacterium. RNAcentral's name for it is "partial 16S ribosomal RNA". It matches the Rfam family "Bacterial small subunit ribosomal RNA", at positions 28 to 507 of the family's 1533-position model. The record is from RNAcentral.